GUAGUUAUCUGGUUGAUCCUGCCAGUAGUCAUAUGCUUGUCUCAAAGAUUAAGCCAUGCAUGUCUAAGUAUAAGCAAUUUAUACAGUGAAACUGCGAAUGGCUCAUUAAAUCAGUUAUCGUUUAUUUGAUAGUACCUUACUACUUGGAUAACCGUGGUAAUUCUAGAGCUAAUACAUGCUUAAAAUCCCGACUGUUUGGAAGGGAUGUAUUUAUUAGAUAAAAAAUCAAUGCCUUCGGGCUCUUUGAUGAUUCAUAAUAACUUUUCGAAUCGCAUGGCCUUGUGCUGGCGAUGGUUCAUUCAAAUUUCUGCCCUAUCAACUUUCGAUGGUAGGAUAGUGGCCUACCAUGGUUUCAACGGGUAACGGGGAAUAAGGGUUCGAUUCCGGAGAGGGAGCCUGAGAAACGGCUACCACAUCCAAGGAAGGC
This 427-nucleotide ribosomal RNA is filed under the name Allobacillus halotolerans. RNAcentral's name for it is "SSU rRNA". It matches the Rfam family "Eukaryotic small subunit ribosomal RNA", at positions 1 to 426 of the family's 1831-position model. The record is from RNAcentral. Lineage: Bacteria; Bacillati; Bacillota; Bacilli; Caryophanales; Bacillaceae.